This 500-nucleotide ribosomal RNA is filed under the name uncultured bacterium. RNAcentral describes it as "partial 16S ribosomal RNA". It matches the Rfam family "Bacterial small subunit ribosomal RNA", at positions 30 to 523 of the family's 1533-position model. The record is from RNAcentral.
AUUGAACGCUGGCGGAAUGCUUUACACAUGCAAGUCGAACGGCAGCACGGACUUCGGUCUGGUGGCGAGUGGCGAACGGGUGAGUAAUACAUCGGAACGUGCCCAGUCGUGGGGGAUAACGUAGCGAAAGCUACGCUAAUACCGCAUACGAUCUAAGGAUGAAAGCGGGGGAUCGCAAGACCUCGCGCGAUUGGAGCGGCCGAUGGCAGAUUAGGUAGUUGGUGGGGUAAAGGCUCACCAAGCCGACGAUCUGUAGCUGGUCUGAGAGGACGACCAGCCACACUGGGACUGAGACACGGCCCAGACUCCUACGGGAGGCAGCAGUGGGGAAUUUUGGACAAUGGGCGCAAGCCUGAUCCAGCCAUUCCGCGUGCAGGAUGAAGGCCCUCGGGUUGUAAACUGCUUUUGUACGGAACGAAAAGGCUCUGGUUAAUACCCGGGGCUCAUGACGGUACCGUAAGAAUAAGCACCGGCUAACUACGUGCCAGCCGCCGCCGUAA